This 253-nucleotide long non-coding RNA is filed under the name Panax ginseng (ginseng). RNAcentral describes it as "long non-coding RNA (PGIN_LNC004565)". The record is from RNAcentral. Lineage: Eukaryota; Viridiplantae; Streptophyta; Magnoliopsida; Apiales; Araliaceae.
UAAAACAUCGUAUAUUAUGAGACGAAUGGAGCAUUUUUGUAACCUAGCUUUAUAAACAGAAUUUAGGAAAAAAGAACAUCAGAGCCUUGUAUUUAAGUACUCCAUCUGGCUUCAUCAAAUAUAUACUCUUGAAUUGAAGGAUGACAUAAUUUUUCUUCUUGUUUUUCACCACCAGUUCCUGUUAAAUGCCAACAACCCACCUCCUCCUUCCUUCAUUAACCCAUACUUCCACCUCUCAAUCUCUACAGUUAAA